Molecule: ribosomal RNA, 422 nt
Filed under: uncultured bacterium
Lineage: Bacteria
Description: bacterial SSU rRNA
Rfam family: Bacterial small subunit ribosomal RNA
Source: RNAcentral
CCAGACUCCUACGGGAGGCAGCAGUGGGGAAUAUUGCACAAUGGGCGCAAGCCUGAUGCAGCCAUGCCGCGUGUAUGAAGAAGGCCUUCGGGUUGUAAAGUACUUUCGGCGGGGAGGAAGGCGAUAAGGUUAAUAACCUUGUCGAUUGACGUUACCCGCAGAAGAAGCACCGGCUAACUCCGUGCCAGCAGCCGCGGUACUACGGAUGGUGCAAGCGUUAAUCGGAAUUACUGGGCGUAAAGCGCACGCAGGCGGUCUGUAAAGUCGGAUGUGAAAUCACCGGGCUCAACCUGGGAACUACAUUGGAAACGGGCAGGCUGGAGUCUUGUAGAGGGGGGGAGAAUUCCAGGUGUAGCGGUGAAAUGCGUAGAGAUCGGGAGGAAUACAGGUGGCGAAGGCGGCCCCCUGGACAAAGACUGACG